UAACGACCCGACUCGCUAGCAAUAAUAACUUAAUGGACCCAAACCACCAGCCCAAAAUGUUUAAGCUCAGUUAUUAUUACUAGUGUGCGAGUCGUUACAUUUAGUAUUAGAGCCGAUUCACCAACCUAAAGUGUGAGAUGAGUGUUGGCUGAGAUAGGGUCAGAAUGACAGACUAAGACAGGGUCGGUAAUUGACCGGCUAAAUUAGGGUCGGAAUGACAAAGGCUAGCGAAACAAUCCUCACAUUGCCUGAUGAUUUUGAGUUGUGUGUGUUUAGGGCUGACCAGGACGUCAGCGCCUAAACCGGGGGAGUCUACAUGUGACACUCCAAUAGUCCUAUAUCGGAUAGUUAUAACCAGACGUGGGAGUAUAUAAUCUUGAUUGGCUGUAUAUAAUAACUGAGCUUAAGCAUUUUUGGCCAGUGGUUAAACCCAAAGAGUUAUUAUUGCUAGCGGGUCGGAUUGUUACA
RNAcentral lists this long non-coding RNA (468 nucleotides) under Ananas comosus (pineapple). RNAcentral's name for it is "long non-coding RNA (ACOM_LNC029926)". The record is from RNAcentral. Lineage: Eukaryota; Viridiplantae; Streptophyta; Magnoliopsida; Poales; Bromeliaceae.